This 67-nucleotide transfer RNA is filed under the name Marmota monax (woodchuck). Its description in RNAcentral is "tRNA.Ala". It matches the Rfam family "tRNA". From Rfam's summary of the family: Transfer RNA (tRNA) molecules are approximately 80 nucleotides in length. Their secondary structure includes four short double-helical elements and three loops (D, anti-codon, and T loops). The record is from RNAcentral. Lineage: Eukaryota; Metazoa; Chordata; Mammalia; Rodentia; Sciuridae.
GGUUGUGGCUCAGUGGUAGAGCACUUGCCUGGCAUGUGUGAGGCACUGGGUUCAAUCCCCAGCACCA